GACGAACGCUGGCGGCGUGCCUAAUACAUGCAAGUCGAGCGAGCUUGCCUAGAUGAAUUUGGUGCUUGCACCAAAUGAAACUAGAUACAAGCGAGCGGCGGACGGGUGAGUAACACGUGGGUAACCUGCCCAAGAGACUGGGAUAACACCUGGAAACAGAUGCUAAUACCGGAUAACAACACUAGACGCAUGUCUAGAGUUUAAAAGAUGGUUCUGCUAUCACUCUUGGAUGGACCUGCGGUGCAUUAGCUAGUUGGUAAGGUAACGGCUUACCAAGGCAAUGAUGCAUAGCCGAGUUGAGAGACUGAUCGGCCACAUUGGGACUGAGACACGGCCCAAACUCCUACGGGAGGCAGCAGUAGGGAAUCUUCCACAAUGGACGCAAGUCUGAUGGAGCAACGCCGCGUGAGUGAAGAAGGGUUUCGGCUCGUAAAGCUCUGUUGGUAGUGAAGAAAGAUAGAGGUAGUAACUGGC
RNAcentral lists this ribosomal RNA (474 nucleotides) under Lactobacillus gasseri. RNAcentral's name for it is "bacterial SSU rRNA". It matches the Rfam family "Bacterial small subunit ribosomal RNA", at positions 28 to 469 of the family's 1533-position model. The record is from RNAcentral. Lineage: Bacteria; Bacillati; Bacillota; Bacilli; Lactobacillales; Lactobacillaceae.